CCCCUUGUAGUAUAGAAAGUAUAUCUAGUUUCCACCUAGAAGGGGCCAUUAGGCAAGGGGA
Molecule: transfer RNA, 61 nt
Filed under: Ligia oceanica (common sea slater)
Lineage: Eukaryota; Metazoa; Arthropoda; Malacostraca; Isopoda; Ligiidae
Description: tRNA-Gly
Source: RNAcentral